RNAcentral lists this small RNA (1169 nucleotides) under Pongo abelii (Sumatran orangutan). RNAcentral describes it as "retained intron". Lineage: Eukaryota; Metazoa; Chordata; Mammalia; Primates; Hominidae. The record is from RNAcentral.
UUUACAGCAACCAUUGUAUUAGUGACUUUAAGCUACUCUUUUUCUUAAAAUACUUAAAAGAGGAUUUUUGAUUCUGGCCAAGUGAGCCUACCUUCACAACUUUUUAAAAAGAUUUAUUUCAUCUUGCUGUAGUUUUCUAGUAAUAGAGCUGCUCCCAUAGAUGAUUGUUUUUUAAGUUUCUGAUUUUGUCACCAAUGUGAAAGGAAGGAACAUAGUAAAUAGAUGCAGUGCUGACAGUGCUGUAGGACUGGAGCAUUGUUUUGUAUAAUAUCAUUUCUUUUUUCAGAUGCCGCAGUAUCAGCAGGCUUUCUUUCAACAGCAGAUGCUAGCUCAACAUCAGCUGUCUCAACAACAGGCAUCACCUGAAUAUCUUACCUCCCCUCAAGAGUUCUCACCAGCCUUAGUUUCCUACACUUCAUCACUUCCAGCUCAGGUUGGAACCAUAAUGGACUCCUCCUAUAGUGCCAAUAGGUCAGUUGCUGAUAAAGAGGCCAUUGCAAAUUUCACAAAUCAGAAGAACAUCAGCAAUCCACCUGAUAUGUCAGGGUGGAAUCCUUUUGGAGAGGAUAAUUUCUCUAAGUUAACAGAAGAGGAACUAUUGGACAGAGAAUUUGACCUUCUAAGAUCAAGUAAGGGACACUUGAAGGCUUAUUUUGCUUCACAGUAAAAUAACAGCUCUAUUAUUAUUCAGCAAGGCCAAAGACUUUUGAGAAUGUGUAUGGAAAAUUCUUUUUGUGCAUUUGAGGGCAAAAUUCAGGCCAUCUUCUUAUACAUAUACUAUCAAAUUAUGUUGUGUGCAUUAGAAAUCAGUUGCUUGAUAGUAGCUAUUAAACCCAAUAUUGCUGAUAGUAUGCUAAUAUCCUAAAACUUAAAUAUUGCAUAUCUAUGAAUGUUAAAUCCAGAAUAUCUCUAAAACAUGGAAAAUUGAUGUUUCAAUAAAAAGGGAGACAUUUUAUUAUUUUGCCUUACUAAUGAUUUUGCAGCUCUGUUUUUCUGCACACUCAAUAGAAAAUAUUGUGGGUCUGAGAUGCCCUUUGAAAAUGCCUGAAAGAAAACAUGGGCCACUACAUUAUGUUAAUGUUUUGUAAUGCCCUUUUAAUGAGUGGUGACAUAAAAGGGCUGCUUUGUUGUCCUGAUAUGGCAAAAAUUAAAUAAAUUCUUUUCACUUU